RNAcentral lists this ribosomal RNA (215 nucleotides) under Campeiostachys nutans. RNAcentral describes it as "Elymus nutans partial small subunit ribosomal RNA". The stretch from base 38 to 215 matches the Rfam family "Eukaryotic small subunit ribosomal RNA", at positions 685 to 864 of the family's 1831-position model. Lineage: Eukaryota; Viridiplantae; Streptophyta; Magnoliopsida; Poales; Poaceae. The record is from RNAcentral.
AGAUCAAACUGUUGGUCGUGCCUUGGUACGUACUGGCAUUAUUGAUUUCUCCCUUCUGAAGAACCACGAUGCCAUUAAUUUGGUGUUUUAGGGAAUCAGGACUGUUACUUUGAAAAAAUUAGAGUGUUUAAAGCAGGCUCACGCUUGAAUACAUUAGCAUGGAAUAACGGAAUAGGACGUUUGAUUCUAUUUUGUUGGUUUCUAGGAUCGACGUA